GCCUCCUUGGCUCAGUGGUAAAGCGUCGCACUUGUACAGAUAAAUACAAGCUAUGGCUCACAUCCGUCAUGCGAAGAUCGGUGGUUCAAUUCCGCCAGGAGGCA
This is a non-coding RNA of Peziza echinospora, 104 nucleotides long. The record is from the annotation of a GenBank genome assembly. Lineage: Eukaryota; Fungi; Ascomycota; Pezizomycetes; Pezizales; Pezizaceae.